Molecule: small nuclear RNA, 190 nt
Organism: Cercocebus atys (sooty mangabey)
Lineage: Eukaryota; Metazoa; Chordata; Mammalia; Primates; Cercopithecidae
Gene: U2
Rfam family: U2 spliceosomal RNA
About the family: U2 is a small nuclear RNA (snRNA) component of the spliceosome (involved in pre-mRNA splicing). Complementary binding between U2 snRNA (in an area lying towards the 5' end but 3' to hairpin I) and the branchpoint sequence (BPS) of the intron results the bulging out of an unpaired adenosine, on the BPS, which initiates a nucleophilic attack at the intronic 5' splice site, thus starting the first of two transesterification reactions that mediate splicing.
Source: Ensembl
AUUGCUUCUUGGCCUUCUGGCUAAGAUCAUGUGCAGCAUCUGUUCUUACCAGUUUAAUAUCUGAUAUAUUCUCUAUCUGAGGAUAAUAUAAUAAAUAGAUUUUUGGAGCAAGGAGAUGGAAUAGGAGCUUGGUCUGUCCACUCUACACAUUGACCUGGAUUGCAGUACCUCCAGGAAUGGUGCACCCUCU